AUGGUCAGGGGUGUGAGGCCAUGAGAACAAAGCCGAUGCCAGUCAUGCUAGGGCAGACAGAGCUCUUUGAAAGUUCUGACACCUGUCCUUGCCUUCAGUUAGGCCUGAAGUCUAGCUCCAUGGUUUCGGGAAUUCAGAGGUCACCCUUUGCCAGUUUCAGUCUCCCUGAACUUGUGGGCUUCUCUGAGCAACAGAAUUGGCCAACCUAAGUCUCAGUGUUCUCAAGAUGGCUAAAGCUACACUCCAGCUGUACUCACAGCAGGACAGAUACAGUUAAAAUGGAGUGAAUGGUAUAGGAAACACGUAGGAGGGACCUGCUGAUGGUAGCCAAGAAUAUAUUCUGACUUCUGUUUGUUACUUUCUUCUGCAGGGGAGUCCCAUCUAAGGAUUUUGCAAGAGCUAAAAACACAGGAGUUUCAAAAUGUUUCCUGUAGAAAAUCAAAAAGUCCUUUAAGUCAGUCUAAUGAUGCUUUUAAUUGCCACUAUACUAAUGCUGUAAUGAAUUCUUGGAGGUUUCCCUUUUGUGUAUAAUUGGCAGAGCGGGGGUCACACUCCAUUGGGCACAUGACACUAUAUGUGAACCUGAAACUAUAUAUGAGUAGGAACCUGGAAGAGUGGACCAAGAGCCUCAGCAAGCCUUGGCUCCCCAGUGCAGUCUUGGCUGGGCAUCGAUAUACACUGAGAUGAAUGUUAGUAAACCAAGUUUAAAGCUAUCUCAUGGAGAAGACAGAACGAUUACAUAAGAGAGAAGAGAUGCAAAUGCUGACACCAUAAUUUUAUGAAAGAGAAGAGAGAAACUUCUGCUCUACCUACUGAAAAUACUGCAAAUACAUUUGAGUGAAGCCACAAUUGUUAUUUGGAAGCUAUGGGAUCCAGUAACAAAUUUACAUGGAGAUGUAAAUGUGGACCAGAUUUCUACUUCACUUUGGUAUCCUGCUGAGUUGCACAGACUGAGGAUUCGGCCGAGAAACUAAAAAAAAAAUCCUUGCCAAAUGUUUGCAUUGAGGACUGAAAGCAGAAACAGCAAAUAAAAUAAAUUAUAACAUCGAAAA
Cavia porcellus (domestic guinea pig) is the source of this 1052-nucleotide long non-coding RNA. RefSeq lists it as uncharacterized. The transcript has 3 exons. NCBI's taxonomy places the organism in Eukaryota, Metazoa, Chordata, Mammalia, Rodentia, Caviidae. The record is from RefSeq and is a predicted model, not a curated record.